This 281-nucleotide long non-coding RNA is filed under the name Gossypium barbadense (sea-island cotton). RNAcentral describes it as "long non-coding RNA (GBAR_LNC014059)". Lineage: Eukaryota; Viridiplantae; Streptophyta; Magnoliopsida; Malvales; Malvaceae. The record is from RNAcentral.
CACCCUUGAGCAUUGUCUCAUCAAGUGCACCUUUGCCAUCAAUCACCUUCACCGAAAGUAAGACUAGUUGGCACCCAACACCUAAAGCCCUUCAAUCAUGAUGAGACGACCAUUACUUGUUAAGCCACCCUACAUUGCCUCACUACCGAUCUACAGGAUCAUAGAGCCGUCUCUAAUAGGGGACAAAGAGGUGAUCCAUUCACUAAUAAGAUGCCUAUACGUUGCAUCCCAAAUCUCGCAUAUAAAAGCCUUCUCACCUCGGUAGAAAGGGGACAUUAGAU